UCGCGGCUUAUCACCGGCAGUCUCCUUAGAGUGCUCAACUAAAUGGUAGCAACUAAGGACGGGGGUUGCGCUCGUUGCGGGACUUAACCCAACAUCUCACGACACGAGCUGACGACAGCCAUGCAGCACCUGUGUUACGGCUCUCUUGCGAGCACUCCCUGAUCUCUCAAGGAUUCCGUACAUGUCAAGGGUAGGUAAGGUUUUUCGCGUUGCAUCGAAUUAAUCCACAUCAUCCACCGCUUGUGCGGGUCCCCGUCUAUUCCUUUGAGUUUUAGUCUUGCGACCGUACUUCCCAGGCGGUGUGCUUAACGCGUUAGCUGCGUUACUAAGAGCGGUAAGGCUCCCAACAACUAGUUGACAUCGUUUAGGGCGUGGACUAC
Molecule: unclassified non-coding RNA, 380 nt
Filed under: uncultured Gammaproteobacteria bacterium
Lineage: Bacteria; Pseudomonadati; Pseudomonadota; Gammaproteobacteria
Description: contains 16S-23S intergenic spacer region
Source: RNAcentral